CGGAUCGCAGGCUGCAACUCGCCUGCGUGAAGUUGGAAUUGCUAGUAAUCGCGGAUCAGCAUGCCGCGGUGAAUACGUUCCCGGGCCUUGUACACACCGCCCGUCACACCAUGGGAGUUUGUAACACCCGAAGUCAGUAUCCUAACCGCAAGGGGGGAGCUGCCGAAGGUGGGAUAAGCGACUGGGGUGAAGUCGUAACAAGGUAUC
RNAcentral lists this ribosomal RNA (207 nucleotides) under uncultured bacterium. Its description in RNAcentral is "partial 16S ribosomal RNA". It matches the Rfam family "Bacterial small subunit ribosomal RNA", at positions 1294 to 1500 of the family's 1533-position model. The record is from RNAcentral.